RNAcentral lists this ribosomal RNA (487 nucleotides) under uncultured bacterium. RNAcentral describes it as "bacterial SSU rRNA". It matches the Rfam family "Bacterial small subunit ribosomal RNA", at positions 28 to 508 of the family's 1533-position model. The record is from RNAcentral.
AUUGAACGCUGGCGGCAUGCUUUACACAUGCAAGUCGAGCGGCAGCGCGGGGGCAACCCUGGCGGCGAGUGGCGAACGGGUGAGUAAUGCAUCGGAACGUGUCCCGUAGUGGGGGAUAACGCCGCGAAAGCGGCGCUAAUACCGCAUAUGCUCUACGGAGGAAAGGGGGGGACCCGCAAGGGCCUCCCGCUAUGGGAGCGGCCGAUGUCCGAUUAGCUUGUUGGUGAGGUAAAGGCUUACCAAGGCGACGAUCGGUAGCUGGUCUGAGAGGAUGAUCAGCCACACUGGGACUGAGACACGGCCCAGACUCCUACGGGAGGCAGCAGUGGGGAAUUUUGGACAAUGGGGGCAACCCUGAUCCAGCCAUGCCGCGUGCGGGAAGAAGGCCUUCGGGUUGUAAACCGCUUUUGUCCGGGAAGAAAAGGCAUUCCCUAAUACGGGGUGCUCUUGACGGUACUGGAAGAAUAAGCACCGGCUAACUACGUGC